AGAGUUUGAUCCUGGCUCAGAACGAACGCUGGCGGCGUGCUUAACACAUGCAAGUCGAACGAGAAAUCAUGCCUUCGGGCGUGAGAGUAAAGUGGCGCACGGGUGAGUAACACGUGGGUAACCUGCCCUCGAAUCCGGGAUAACUUCGCGAAAGCGUUGCUAAUACUGGAUAUUGUCCCAUAUGCUAUGGUUUUUGGGAUGAAAGGUGACCUCUUUAUAAAAGUUGCCGUUUGAGGAGGGGCCCGCGUACCAUUAGCUUGUUGGUAGGGUAAUGGCCUACCAAGGCUACGAUGGUUAGCUGGUCUGAGAGGAUGAUCAGCCACACUGGAACUGGAACACGGUCCAGACUCCUACGGGAGGCAGCAGUGAGGAAUUUUGCGCAAUGGGGGAAACCCUGACGCAGCAACGCCGCGUGAGUGAAGAAGGCUUUCGGGUCGUAAAGCUCUGUCAAGUGGGAAAAAAUGCUUUCGAUUAAUAUUCGAGAGAACUGAUGGUACCACUGGAGGAAGCACCGGCUAACUCCGUGCCAGCAGCCGCGGUAAUACGGAGGGUGCAAGCGUUGUUCGGAAUUACUGGGCGUAAAGAGCGUGUAGGCGGUUUGGUAAGUCAGAUGUGAAAGCCCUGGGCUUAACCCAGGAAGUGCAUUUGAAACUGCCUUACUUGAGUAUGGGAGAGGAGAGUGGAAUUCCCAGUGUAGAGGUGAAAUUCGUAGAUAUUGGGAGGAACACCCGUGGCGAAGGCGACUCUCUGGACCAAUACUGACGCUGAGACGCGAAAGCGUGGGUAGCAAACAGGAUUAGAUACCCUGGUAGUCCACGCCGUAAACGAUGAGAA
Molecule: ribosomal RNA, 834 nt
Filed under: uncultured bacterium
Lineage: Bacteria
Description: bacterial SSU rRNA
Rfam family: Bacterial small subunit ribosomal RNA
Source: RNAcentral